This 284-nucleotide long non-coding RNA is filed under the name Carica papaya (papaya). RNAcentral's name for it is "long non-coding RNA (CPAP_LNC002127)". The record is from RNAcentral. Lineage: Eukaryota; Viridiplantae; Streptophyta; Magnoliopsida; Brassicales; Caricaceae.
GGCAUGAAUGAUGGCAACCAAAGUGAAAAUUGUGAGAUGACACCCUGAGAGAACUGAGAGAUUGUUUGUAUAUUUUACAUCAUUGUAUCAUAAUUGUUAACACACCCACCCUUAGCUAGUUUGAUGUCCUGGUUGCCCUCCUUGGAAAUAAGUGAAGCGGUUGUGUGCGUAAGAUUGUAACUAGUGUAAUAUAAUUUAUAUUUUAAACCUAUAAUAAAACUUCAAAGAUGUGUCUAGUCCUAUGUGUGUAUUAUGCAAAUCCAUUGAAUACGGUAUCAUAUGAC